UACGUAGGGGGCAAGCGAUACUCGGAAUCAUUAGGCGUAAAGCGCAGGUAGGCGGUUUGGCACGUCUUUUGUGAAAGCUCCCGGCUUAACUGGGAGAGGUCAAAGGAAACUGCCAGACUAGAGUGUGGUAGGGGAUACUGGAAUUCCUGGUGUAGCGGUGAAAUGCGUAGAUAUCAGGAGGAACACCGAUGGCGAAGGCAGGUCUCUGGGCAUUAACUGACGCUGAGGAGCGAAAGCAUGGGGAGCGAACAGG
This 253-nucleotide ribosomal RNA is filed under the name uncultured bacterium. RNAcentral's name for it is "partial 16S ribosomal RNA". It matches the Rfam family "Bacterial small subunit ribosomal RNA", at positions 524 to 776 of the family's 1533-position model. The record is from RNAcentral.